ACGAGCUGCAGGAUAAGGCGCACAAGGAGGAACCUCAGUCCUUCCCUCCAGCCGGGCUAACCCCCAGCCCCGCCCCCUCCUUUGCACAGCUUAAAGGCUGUAUGUCUCCUUUGGUUUUAGUGUUUGACAAUGUCUCUAUCUAGCUAUUUUUUUGUGGUUGGUUGGUUUGGUUUUCUGAAACAUGUUAUACAGUCCAUGCUGGAACUAUUGAGCCCUCGUGCGUCAGCCCACCCAAGUGCUGGAAUUACAGGAAUAAUCGAGCCAUUUAUAACUGACUUAACAUGAUAAAUUCCUAAUUUUACUUUCAGAAGCAUAAAUGCUGGAACCAAGCUGCCUGAGUUCUAAUCUUGGCAACCUGGGGCAAGUUAACUCAUAGUGCCUUAAUUUUCUCCUCUUUCACAUGGGAGUGACUGUCAGAGCACCAGCAUCAUAGAUUCACCAUAAAGAACAAACAUUGGGUAUUUGUUGGGUUAUUAUGUCCCGUGAGUUCCUGCUUUAGCAGACUCCACCCUUCACACUGCUCCUGUGGAACUGAGUCUGAGUACCUGGCCUUUAAACCUGUCUUGAAAGGUGAGAACUUCUCUCCAGAAAGGUUCACAUAUCACAUUUUGUGGCCAAUUUUAGGAUGUGUGCAUGCCUGUGCUUGUGUCCAUCUAAGGCAAACCCAUUGUUUCCUAUGGCGCUCAGUAGGCAUGACUGAAGUGCCAGGUACAGGCUUUUCCUGACGGUGUUCGGAUUCCCCAGGGGCAUAGACUAUGUCUGAAAAGAGCUUGCUGUCUGGAUGCUGGGAUAUCAGAGCACCAGAAGAGGGGCCUUUCCCCAAAUUAAGCAGGGAGAGAAUAGACAGGGAAGUUUACUACCUGUCUCAUCUCCCUGAUGUCAGUCCCCAUUAGCAAGACCCACUUCAAGAGUUCAUCCUCACUAAAGAAACCUCUGCAGACACUCCGGGCUCCUAUGUGUCCAUUUGUCCGAAGGAGAGUCUAGACUCCUUAGUCCCGAAUUUAUUUAUUGUUUUGAGAAAAAUGUCUCAUGUGGCCUAGGCUAGCCUCAAACUCACUAUGUAGUCAAGGAUGGCCUUGAACUCCUGAUCCUCUUUAUCAAGUGCUGACAUUACAAGUGUGAACUGCUCCCAGUUUGUGCAGUUCUGGAGAACCAACCCAGGCCUGCAGCAUACAAGACAAGUACUCUACCAUCCAAGCCCCAGUUCCCCCCUCUCUCUUAUUGGAGGUGAACUUGGUUUUGUUUUGAGAGACAGGGUCAUACUCAGUAGCCCAAGCUAACCUGGAACUCACAGCAAUGCUCCUGCCUCAGCCUGAGAGCUGAGAUUACAGGUGUGAGCCACAGGCACUUUUCCCAAACUGGUCUCAACCUUUCCCCAGUCUUCUCUCAGGAGAUUCUGGUUUUACACCCCAAAAUAGAGCAACUUUCCCCCCCAGAUUUUCUGAGGUGAUUCUGUUUUCUGUAAUGACAGUCUUUGUAUAAAGAGGUGAGAUGUCUGAUUGAAAGUGAUUUAAUUUUUUUCAGAUUUACUUCUUUUCUUACAUGUAUGCAUGUGUAUCGUGUGCAUGACUGGUGCCCACAGAGACCAGGAGAAGGUCACAGAGUCUCUGGUUCUAGAGUCACGGAUGGCUAUGAGGACGCCAGGUCCCCUCCAGGAGCAAAAGUACUCUGAACUUCUGAGCCUUCUCACCAGCCCCAGCCCCAGCCCCAGCCCCAGCCCCAGCCCCAGCCCCAGCCCCAGCCCCAGCCCCAGCCCCAGCCCCAGCCCCAGCCCCAGCCUCAACUGUUACUGUUUUGUUUCCUUUCAGUUUUUCAAGACAGGGUUUCUCUGUGUAGCCCUGUCUCUCCUGGAACUCAUUGUGUAGAGCAGGCUGACCUUAAUCUCAAAGAUUCACCUGCUUCUGCCUCCCGAGUGCUGAUAUUAAAGACAUGGGCCACCACCUCAGGGCUCAUGCUUUAAUUUUUAUUUAAUAGCAUUUCUCCACAUCCCCCAAAUCCUUCAUCAUCCAGUGCAGUCUAAACUUUGUUUCAGUGACCAGGCAUUUGCUCCACACUGAGCUUGCCGGCUUCCACACUGUGGCCAUGCUGUGUGUCCCUCUGCUUGGGAGCUGUUUGUCCCCACACUCUAAAGUCUGUCCCUCUCACUUGGUACUUCCCAAGUGCUGGCUCUCUUCAAAGCCUCUCCUUCUCCCUCAUUCCCAGCCUUCAACCCACGGCUCAGUAACCCGCAGGGUGCUUCAUGAUGGAGAAAGGAAAUCUCAAUGCCCACUGCUUCCUGCAGUGAUCUAUCUGUCCCUGACCUGUGCCUCCUCGGAUGUGACACCUUCCGCAGAAGCUCCCCCCCAGUGUUUGUACCUCCGCCCUCCCCCCAGCCCCCACAUAGAACUCAUAAGUGUACAGUUGCCACGGGACACAUUCAUUCCGGGAGUGGCUCCGGGAAGAGAAGCAGCGCACCCACCCUGCCAGGUCGCCUGUGUCUCCCUUUCUUCCUUCUUACCCCAGAAAAAAAGCAAGUCCAUUGUGAAGAUAAAUAGGUCAGCCUCCCUCCCUCCCUCACCGCUGCCCUGUGGUCUGGCCAGGAGCACUUUCCACCCAGGCACUUCUGAGCAGAGCUUGUCCUGAUUUCUGGAAGUGGGAGAGACUCUUCUCUCCCCUCAUCUUUGCACUGGAUCCUGCCACCUUAAGAGUCAGUUGGGAUGCUGAGGCUGACGUGCUGGCCCUCCACAAAGAAAAGGCAGGGAACAAGGGAUACUCUUUCAUCAAGUGAGAUAUAUUAAUUUAUUAAGGUUAAAUCAGAGCAUUCCGGGGCAGUGAGUGGGAGAUCAAAGGAAAUGAUGCAGGAGCUCACUAACUGGACCAGUGAAGUCGGAAGCUCACAGCUUCCCUUAGUGACUGGAUGGAGAUUGAUCAAAUCUGGGCAAAGCCUGCAGCCCCAACCCCUUCCCACUUGCUUGAAUAAGACACUCCAGGGGCACAGCCUUGUGCUAGCAAAGACAAGCAAUAACAACAUGGCCGGCGUAUUAAAAAACAAUCCCCUGCAUCCCAGCUCCUGCCCAGGACUCCCAGAGAUCCAGGACCACCUACCCUGCCCUCAGAGAUACACGUCUGGAAGUAGCACUCUGAGCAUGACCCCACUGCUAGCAACUGUGCCAACCCACCUUGAUGAACCCCUCCAGGUUCUUCUGGCUCACACACGGAUGGUCCUUCAGAAACUGAUCUCGGCCAUCUUCCAGGUCCUUCUGAACCUGCUGCUCAUGAGGCUGCUCCAGAGCCUGGAACACCAGAGCCCCAGAUACCAAGUAAAGCAGCACCAAUGCCAACAGG
Non-coding RNA from Rattus norvegicus (Norway rat), 3324 nucleotides. NCBI's taxonomy places the organism in Eukaryota, Metazoa, Chordata, Mammalia, Rodentia, Muridae. The record is from RefSeq and is a predicted model, not a curated record.